AUCAGCGUACAAGCUCGCCGAAGGACCGCUAAACUCUGUCUGACAGUGUAUUCUGAAUGCUUCAACUAAAUAGUUAAAACUUUCAACAACGGAUCUCUUGGUUCUGGCAUCGAUGAAGAACGCAGCGAAAUGCGAUAAGUAAUGUGAAUUGCAGAAUUCGGUGAAUCAUCGAAUCUUUGAACGCACAUUGCGCUCAUUAGUAUUCUAGUGGGCAUGCCUAUUCGAGCGUCAUUU
RNAcentral lists this ribosomal RNA (234 nucleotides) under uncultured Hypoxylon. Its description in RNAcentral is "5.8S ribosomal RNA". The stretch from base 78 to 231 matches the Rfam family "5.8S ribosomal RNA". From Rfam's summary of the family: 5.8S ribosomal RNA (5.8S rRNA) is a component of the large subunit of the eukaryotic ribosome. Lineage: Eukaryota; Fungi; Ascomycota; Sordariomycetes; Xylariales; Xylariaceae. The record is from RNAcentral.